CACGUAGGGCGCGAGCGUUGUCCGGAAUUAUUGGGCGUAAAGAGCUCGUAGGCGGCCUGUUGCGUCCGCUGUGAAAGCCCGGGGCUUAACCCCGGGUCGGCAGUGGAUACGGGCAGGCUAGAGGUAGGUAGGGGAGAAUGGAAUUCCCGGUGUAGCGGUGAAAUGCGCAGAUAUCAGGAAGAACACCCGUGGCGAAGGCGGCUCUCUGGAACGCAACUGACGCUGAGACGCGAAAGCGUGGGGAGCAAACAGG
RNAcentral lists this ribosomal RNA (253 nucleotides) under uncultured bacterium. RNAcentral describes it as "partial 16S ribosomal RNA". It matches the Rfam family "Bacterial small subunit ribosomal RNA", at positions 524 to 776 of the family's 1533-position model. The record is from RNAcentral.